RNAcentral lists this long non-coding RNA (847 nucleotides) under Medicago truncatula (barrel medic). RNAcentral describes it as "long non-coding RNA (MTRU_LNC005168)". The record is from RNAcentral. Lineage: Eukaryota; Viridiplantae; Streptophyta; Magnoliopsida; Fabales; Fabaceae.
AGUAUUUUCGUGAUUUGGAGAUGGUUUAUGAGUUUAAUGUUGCCCCUGUUCAUAAGGUGAAUCAACUGAUUGGUUGUCAUACAUUGCUUCAGGUAAAAUAAAUACAUGGUUCUUUAUAUAACUUUAAAGAUGAAAUAGACUAUGUUGUUUACUAAUUAUUAUAUAUUGAUUAUGGCAUAAACAUUUCAACACUUUUGGGGUGUUGGAGCCAAGGAUUUUGAGGAAGGAUACAUGGAGAAUCGACACCCGCGUGCUAACAUGUUUACAUCUCUUAAGGGUCUCAUUGUCACAAACCUUUACCGAGAGGACUUGGACCGGUUGUUAGUGAAUGAUUGCGUCUUUUAACCAUAUGUCGCUCGCUAAAACGCACAUUCAUUCUAGAACAUCAGCGUCUACUCUGGUAGGAUCAGAUAUUAACCUCGCAUGGUGGGGUAUUAUUUAGAGUGCAUGUUGCAAAAGUCUGGAUUUUUCAUGCCAUUCCUAGACAUACAAUUGUCUCUGCUUAACCCCUGGAGAUUGGACCAUAUGUUUUUUUUUAUGCCUAUGCUAAUUUUCUUGACUAUGUGUUGGCCGCAAAGAACCUAGGAGAUCUUGCAUUUUAUGGGUGGAAUACAACAAUGUGUUACAUAAGGUAGUAGCCCAGGAUAUCACAUUUGUAUGUGCUGCCCACACCUUCGAGAAACCCUCCUCGACCAGCUAAACAUGAGACACAAGUCGAAGAGGCGGGGAACUCGGUUGCAUACUUAGUCGAAUGGACAUGCCAAAUCUGGAUGUUAGUAAUUAUAUUUCUGAUGAUGCUUCGUCAUAUGAUAUUUUUAGUUGUGUUUUGGAGUCUUUUUCUAUUCAU